Molecule: non-coding RNA, 112 nt
Organism: Acanthosepion pharaonis
Lineage: Eukaryota; Metazoa; Mollusca; Cephalopoda; Sepiida; Sepiidae
Source: the annotation of a GenBank genome assembly
AUGGCCACAUCACAUUAAAACAUCAGUCCCUGUAAGAUCACCAAUGUUAAGCAAUGUUGAACCUGGUCAGUACCUAGUUGGGUGACCACUAGGGAAUAUCAGGUGCUGUAAG